UGGGGAAUUUUCCGCAAUGGGGGCAACCCUGACGGAGCAACGCCGCGUGGGGGAGGAAUGUCUGUGGAUUGUAAACCUCUUUUCUCUAGGAAGAAGCUCUGACGGUACUAGAGGAAUCAGCAUCGGCUAACUCCGUGCCAGCAGCCGCGGUAAGACGGAGGAUGCAAGCGUUAUCCGGAAUUAUUGGGCGUAAAGCGUCCGUAGGCGGUUAUUCAAGUCUGCUGUCAAAGAUCACAGCUCAACUGUGGGCGGGCGGUGGAAACUGGGUAACUAGAGUUCGGUAGGGGUAGAGGGAAUUCCCAGUGUAGCGGUGAAAUGCGUAGAUAUUGGGAAGAACACCAGUGGCGAAGGCGCUCUACUGGGCCGAGACUGACGCUGAUGGACGAAAGCUAGGGGAGCGAAAGGGAUUAGAUACCCCCGUAGUCC
This 426-nucleotide ribosomal RNA is filed under the name uncultured prokaryote. Its description in RNAcentral is "bacterial SSU rRNA". It matches the Rfam family "Bacterial small subunit ribosomal RNA", at positions 355 to 796 of the family's 1533-position model. The record is from RNAcentral.